RNAcentral lists this small nuclear RNA (261 nucleotides) under Neotoma lepida (desert woodrat). Its description in RNAcentral is "7SK RNA". It matches the Rfam family "7SK RNA". From Rfam's summary of the family: 7SK was discovered as an abundant small nuclear RNA in the mid-70s but a possible function has only recently been suggested. Two independent studies have found that 7SK RNA binds the CDK9/cyclin T complex (known as elongation factor P-TEFb). Lineage: Eukaryota; Metazoa; Chordata; Mammalia; Rodentia; Cricetidae. The record is from Rfam by way of RNAcentral.
GGAUAUGGGAGCAAUCUGGCUCCCAUUUAUCUCCAGGGUUAAUUCAGCUGACCUGGCUGGCUAGGCAAGUAUCUGCUUCUUAGCUCAUCACUCCAUCUUCUUCUCUCCCACAGUUCCAUGCUCCNUGGACAAGAACAACCAUCCCAGACAGAGAACCGUUCUUCAGUCAAGGAUGUAUGAGUAGCUGUGAACCUCCAAACAAGAUUGAGAAUGUAGCAUGAUUAAGCACCCACAGAACUGCCCCUCAGGUUACAGUUUUCU